GCUCUUGGUACAUGAUGGUUGCUCAAUCAAUGUUGGUUACCUCCUUCCACCUUUCCUGUCCCUCUGAUAAAUGAAUGUCCUUGUAUCUAUCUUUCUGUGGAGCAUUUGUAGAUUGAAAUGAGUAUUUCUAAAGUGAUGUAUUGUAAUCAAGGAAUGUAAAUGCUUCUCAGUGACAUUUCUUUAUUCAUCCAACAUUUAUUUAUCAAGCACCUUCCAUGUGACAAGCACAGAGCUCGGAUGGGCAGCCAACCAUGAACAAGAAGGACACGGCCACGUGCCACAUGCACGGGAGGUAGGCAAGUGUGGAACACAGGAGAGUCAUGAAGAACAUGACUGUGAACUGUGAUAGGCACUGGGAAGGAAACAGCAGGGGCUGAGAAACAGAAUGAGGGCCUCAGGAUGCUUCAAGCGAAGCCAUGGAGGAAGGUUUUUCUGAAAAUUUGAUGUAUAAGCUGCUAUCUAAAGGGCAUGAUGGAACCAAGGGCAGUCGUCCUUCUUGGCAUUCAUUGAUAGAUGGAGCUAUCUGUGGAGACCCCCGAGAAGCUACGGAGGUGCAGGUGUAUUCGCCUCUACAUUGAUUCUACAUCUGGGUGGCUAUGCAUUCACUAACUUAUAAUGUUUUUCUUUCCUUUUCAUCAUCUGCCAGGUGAGCAAGUCAAUCAUCACCUUUUAAACACUUGAGAUUUCUAAUCUAUUUGUGGCUGAGAAAUCUAACAAUUGUGCUGGUUAGAAUUACAUAAGGAUGACAUUGGCUUUGGAUGAGGUCUCUCCUGUGAGUGUCGUAAACCAAACUUCAGAGCCUGAGCUGUGUACUAGUGCACUCAUUAAACUUCUCAGAGACCAGUUUUGUUCCUGAGAUCUUGGUUAAGUUCUGGACAAGUGAGGUUCUAGGACAGACACCCCAGCUUAGGAGCAUUGUGUUUGAUGUAAAAGGAAAUGGGGUGGAAAAAUAUGCAAGUGUCUCAUCUCUCCUGUCAAGUGCAUGGCUACUUGAUUACAUCCUCUACCCCAAGAAUGCCACCCUGCUUCAGAUCACUCCACUCCAGGGCCUACUGGAGAGACAGAAGAAUGUGGGAGAAAUGCGAGCUUGAGAUGAUUUUGCUCUUGUUAUUAAAAUGCUCUUCUCAUUGUGUGGUAAAAUUACAGAAAAUGUCUUUCUCUUCAGAAAACAAAGACUUCAGCCCCAAAGAGGGCCCAAGAGAGUUUUAGGACAAAUUUGCAUCUCUCUGGCAGGAACUAUGUAUGAAUUCAAGACAGAAAAGGAAUAUUUACAUAAUGUAUACUAUAUUUCUGUUAUAGCUUUCCAGAGAGCUCCCUAGCAAGAACUGGGAAGAGGUAUGAGGGGCAAGAAAGCUCCAAGCAGCCUCCCCUACUGAAAGCUAAUUGUAGUGGCACUGAUUGAAAGGUGGUGGAAGUUGUAGAAAGCCCUAGAGAGCAAUCAACAGGCUUAGGGCAGGCUGACCCCAAGACCUUGGGUCACUGUGUGGCUUUGAGCAAAUUGCGUAAUCUAUUUUGGCCCUAAUUCUCUCUUUUUAAAAAUGAGAUUGCACACCAGCAACUGUUGUUGCUCUUUCAGCUUGGAAGUGCUGUCUUUGUGGGUAAAUAAGGCAUUUUUAAGGCUAGUCUAAAUUUACAAGUGAACCUGUGGAGGCCCUGGAAAUACACUUACAUAUUUCACAUAGGACUACUGUAGUCACUACAAUGAGAAAGAAUUUCACUUCCUGCAUUGGAUCGGGUGGAUUAGAGUUGGUGCAUAUAAAGCAGCUAUGACAUGAAAA
This 1778-nucleotide long non-coding RNA is filed under the name Homo sapiens (human). RNAcentral describes it as "HSALNT0340886". Lineage: Eukaryota; Metazoa; Chordata; Mammalia; Primates; Hominidae. The record is from RNAcentral.